RNAcentral lists this transfer RNA (69 nucleotides) under Rattus norvegicus (Norway rat). It matches the Rfam family "tRNA". From Rfam's summary of the family: Transfer RNA (tRNA) molecules are approximately 80 nucleotides in length. The record is from Rfam by way of RNAcentral. Lineage: Eukaryota; Metazoa; Chordata; Mammalia; Rodentia; Muridae.
GGGGAUUUAGCUCAGCGGAAGAGCGCUUGCCUAGCAAGCGCAAGGCCCUGGGUUCGAUCCCCAGCUCCG